UGGGGAAUUUUGCACAAUGGGCGCAAGCCUGAUCCAGCCAUGCCGCGUGAGUGAUGAAGGCCUUAGGGUUGUAAAGCUCUUUCAGUAGGGAAGAUAAUGACGGUACCUACAGAGGAAGCCCCGGCUAACUUCGUG
Molecule: ribosomal RNA, 135 nt
Filed under: uncultured bacterium
Lineage: Bacteria
Description: partial 16S ribosomal RNA
Rfam family: Bacterial small subunit ribosomal RNA
Source: RNAcentral